RNAcentral lists this ribosomal RNA (1335 nucleotides) under uncultured bacterium. RNAcentral's name for it is "bacterial SSU rRNA". It matches the Rfam family "Bacterial small subunit ribosomal RNA", at positions 29 to 1378 of the family's 1533-position model. The record is from RNAcentral.
ACGAACGCUGGCGGCGUGCUUAACACAUGCAAGUCGAGCGGAAAGGCCCUUUCGGGGGUACUCGAGCGGCGAACGGGUGAGUAACACGUGAGUAAUCUGCCCUGUGCUUCGGGAUAGCCACCGGAAACGGUGAUUAAUACCGGAUAUGACACUCUUGCGCAUGUGGGGGUGUGGAAAGUUUUUUCGGCGCAGGAUGUGCUCGCGGCCUAUCAGCUUGUUGGUGGGGUAAUGGCCUACCAAGGCUUCGACGGGUAGCCGGCCUGAGAGGGUGACCGGCCACACUGGGACUGAGACACGGCGGGGACUCCUACGGGAGGCAGCAGUGGGGAAUAUUGGACAAUGGGCGGAAGCCUGAUCCAGCAACGCCGCGUGAGGGAUGACGGCCUUCGGGUUGCAAACCUCUUUCAGCGGGGACGAAGCGAAAGUGACGGUACCCGCAGAAGAAGCACCGGCCAACUACGUGCCAGCAGCCGCGGUAAUACGUAGGGUGCGAGCGUUGUCCGGAAUUAUUGGGCGUAAAGGGCUCGUAGCGGUUUGUCGCGUCGGGAGUGAAAACCAGGUGCUUAACACCUGGCUUGCUUUCGAUACGGGCAGACUAGAGGUAUGCAGGGGAGAACGGAAUUCCUGGUGUAGCGGUGAAAUGCGCAGAUAUCAGGAGGAACACCGGUGGCGAAGGCGGUUCUCUGGGCAUGACCUGACGCUGAGGAGCGAAAGUGUGGGGAGCGAACAGGAUUAGAUACCCUGGUAGUCCACACCGUAAACGUUGGGCGCUAGGUGUGGGAUCCAUUCCACGGGUUCCGUGCCGCAGCUAACGCAUUAAGCGCCCCGCCUGGGGAGUACGGCCGCAAGGCUAAAACUCAAAGGAAUUGACGGGGGCCCGCACAAGCGGCGGAGCAUGCGGAUUAAUUCGAUGCAACGCGAAGAACCUUACCAAGGCUUGACAUACACCAGAACACCGUAGAAAUACGGGACUCUUUGGACACUGGUGAACAGGUGGUGCAUGGUUGUCGUCAGCUCGUGUCGUGAGAUGUUGGGUUAAGUCCCGCAACGAGCGCAACCCUCGUUCUAUGUUGCCAGCACGUAAUGGUGGGAACUCAUGGGAUACUGCCGGGGUCAACUCGGAGGAAGGUGGGGAUGACGUCAAAUCAUCAUGCCCCUUAUGUCUUGGGCUUCACGCAUGCUACAAUGGCCGGUACAAAGGGCUGCAAUACCGUGAGGUGGAGCGAAUCCCAAAAAGCCGGUCCCAGUUCGGAUUGAGGUCUGCAACUCGACCUCAUGAAGUCGGAGUCGCUAGUAAUCGCAGAUCAGCAACGCUGCGGUGAAUACGUUCCCGGG